This 3021-nucleotide long non-coding RNA is filed under the name Panicum hallii. RNAcentral describes it as "long non-coding RNA (PHAL_LNC000171)". Lineage: Eukaryota; Viridiplantae; Streptophyta; Magnoliopsida; Poales; Poaceae. The record is from RNAcentral.
UUUGACAUAAUACAACCAUGGUAUAGAGGCAAUACUGUUAAACAAGUUCCUGCAUUUUUCGACAGUCUGCAGCUUGAUAUUCUUACAGCACCUGAUCCAAAGGGUGACCGCCAAACCUGGAUCAGAUAUUCAAAACUUAUGAGAUCAGCACUUGCUCUGAAAGCACCAGCAGUAAGAUCUGGACUGAUCAUCAACUUCUAUAAAGUGCUCCUCUUGCGACUCGUAGUAAGGCCUUUAGACCUUCAAAAACUUCUAAAGAGGCUCAGAGAUAACUGGCGUUUGUGUGCAAGACAACUUGAGCCAUUCUUGCGAGUCUACAUGUACAAUAGUGACAUUUCAGAGAACUUCAUCUAUGAUAAAUGGGAACAGAAUCAUUGGCAUAUCAUGACAUACUCUCGGCACUUUAUUGAGCAUGCUCUUCUUUGCUUAAAGGUAACUGCCGACUGAUCUCACAUGUCUUCAAUUUCUCAUGUGUCCCCACCUGAGAGAGGAGCCCCUAUCCCACCAACAUUUGCUGACCGUUUCCUCAUGUUUCUAUUAGAGUAAGCUUCACUCUAGAGUACUGUUAAAAAUACAUAUAUCACUAGGAUUUUAACUUUAUUUUGAAUACCCAGGUUUCGAGCCGGUGGAAAUGCUGCUUUUUAUGAAGGUGUCGUAAGAGGAAUUAAAUCUAUUAAUUUGUUCACAUUGCACGUUCCAUUUUCAUUCAUUGAAUGGUAUGAUGGAGAACUUGCUAUCGUCCAGGAUGAGUACCCCAGGUUGGUGCAUUGCCCUCUAAGUUGAUAUCAUCCCUUCCAUAUCUAAGGCUGUUUUUAUUAAGAAAUCUUGUCUUUCCAGUGUAUACAAUGAACUGCUGCAUUCUGUUAUUUCCUUCCUUGUGAAACACGGUAUUGAUAAGAAUGUGGCAACAGAGCAUGCAAAACUUGAAAUAGUGGGUUUGCCAGAACCCAAAAGGUAUCCUUUUGUGAUCUAUCACCUGCUAUCUAAACAGAUAAUGACAAUUUGUAUUUGGAUCAACUAGGAAGCUGAUGAUUUGAUUGCAUUUUUUUUUCACAUGCAGCACCCAAAAGUUUGUGCGCAUUGUUGAAGAUAAUGAAAUGGUUCUUCCAUACAAACUGCACAACAAUAUUUGGGUAAAUGCGACUACACUGGCUGGAAGAGACAUGGGUCUUGGUUAUUUGAAUCAUAUGUUUGAUAAGUUUAAUAUUGGUAAAUGUUGGGGCAGAGGAGAAAAUGAAUGGGAUGAGAACAAUAUGGAAGUAAGGAGCAAAAGGUGUCAUCAAAAAAGAAGCUGAUCAAGAAGUAACUCAAAAUUUGGUUGUAUAUAACUUGCUAAAGUUAUUUGACAUAAUACAACCAUGGUAUAGAGGCAAUACUGUCAAACAAGUUCCUGCAUUUUUCGACAGUCUGCAGCUUGAUAUUCUUACAGCACCUGAUCCAAAGGGUGACCGCCAAACCUGGAUCAGAUAUUCAAAACUUAUGAGAUCAGCACUUGCUCUGAAAGCACCAGCAGUAAGAUCUGGGCUGAUCAUCAACUUCUAUAAAGUGCUCCUCUUGCGACUCGUAGUAAGGCCUUUAGACCUUCAAAAACUUCUAAAGAGGCUCGGAGAUAACUGGCGUUUGUGUGCAAGACAACUUGAGCUAUUCUUGCGAGUCUACAUGUACAAUAGUGACAUUUCAGAGAACUUCAUCUAUGAUAAAUGGGAACAGAAUCAUUGGCAUAUCAUGACAUACUCUCAGCACUUUAUUGAGCAUGCUCUUCUUUGCUUAAAGGUAACUGCCGACUGAUCUCACAUGUCUUCAAUUUCUCAUGUGUCCCCACCUGAGAGAGGAGCCCCUAUCCCACCAACAUUUGCUGACCGUUUCCUCAUGUUUCUAUUAGAGUAAGCUUCACUCUAGAGUACUGUUAAAAAUACAUAUAUCACUAGGAUUUUAACUUUAUUUUGAAUACCCAGGUUUCGAGCCGGUGGAAAUGCUGCUUUUUAUGAAGGUGUCGUAAGAGGAAUUAAAUCUAUUAAUUUGUUCACAUUGCACGUUCCAUUUUAUUCAUUGAAUGGUAUGAUGGAGAACUUGCUAUCGUCCAGGAUGAGUACCCUAGGUUGGUGCAUUGCCCUCUAAGUUGAUAUCAUCCCUUCCAUAUCUAAGGCUGUUUUUAUUAAGAAGUCUUGUCUUUCCAGUGUAUACAAUGAACUGCUGCAUUCUGUUAUUUCCUUCCUUGUGAAACAUGGUAUUGAUAAAAAUGUGGCAACAGAGCAUGCAAAACUUGAAAUAGUGGGUUUGCCAGAACCCAAAAGUUAUCCUUUUGUGAUCUAUCACCUGCUAUCUAAACAGAUAAUGACAAUUUGUAUUUGGAUCAACUAGGAAGCUGAUGAUUUAAUUGCAUUUUUUUUCACAUGCAGCACCCAAAAGUUUGUGCGCAUUGUUGAAGAUAAUGAAAUGGUUCUUCCAUACAAACUGCACAAUAAUAUUUGGGUAAAUGCGACUACACUGGCUGGAAGAGACAUGGGUCUUGGUUAUUUGAACCAUAUGUUUGAUAAGUUUGAUAUUGGUAAAUGUUGGGGCAGAGGAGAAAAUGAAUGGGAUGAAAACAAUAUGGAAGUAAGGAGCAAAGGGUGUCAUCAAAAAAGAAGCUGAUCAAGAAGUAACUCAAAAUUUGGUUGUAUAUAACUUGCUAAAGUUAUUUGACAUAAUACAACCAUGGUAUAGAGGCAAUACUGUCAAACAAGUUCCUGCAUUUUUCGACAGUCUGCAGCUUGAUAUUCUUACAGCACCUGAUCCAAAAGGGUGACCGCCAAACCUGGAUCAGAUAUUCAAAACUUAUGAGAUCAGCACUUGCUCUGAAAGCACCAGCAGUAAGAUCUGGGCUGAUCAUCAACUUCUAUAAAGUGCUCCUCUUGCGACUCGUAGUAAGGCCUUUAGACCUUCAAAAACUUCUAAAGAGGCUCGGAGAUAACUGGCGUUUGUGUGCAAGACAACUUGAGCCAUUCUUGCGAGUCUACAUGUACAAUAGUGACAUUUCAG